CAGCCGCCGCGGGAAUACCAGCAGCCCAAGUGGUGGUCGCGAUUAUUGGGCCUAAAGCGCUCGUAGCCGGGCCGGUAAGUCCCUUGUGAAAUCGGACGGCCUAACCGUUCGGCGUGCAAGGGAUACUGUCGGUCUUGGGGCCGGGAGACGUCCGAGGUACUCCGGGGGUAGCGGUGAAAUGUUCUGAUCCUCGGGGGACCACCGGUGGCGAAGGCGUUCGACGAGAACGGGCCUGACGGUGAGGGGCGAAGGCUAGGGGAGCAAACGGGAUUAGAUACCCCAGUAGUCCCUGUCUCUUAUA
Molecule: ribosomal RNA, 301 nt
Filed under: uncultured bacterium
Lineage: Bacteria
Description: partial 16S ribosomal RNA
Rfam family: Archaeal small subunit ribosomal RNA
Source: RNAcentral